This 2354-nucleotide long non-coding RNA is filed under the name Cricetulus griseus (Chinese hamster). RNAcentral describes it as "lncRNA (ENSCGRG00015033276.1)". Lineage: Eukaryota; Metazoa; Chordata; Mammalia; Rodentia; Cricetidae. The record is from RNAcentral.
CGGAACCCACCUGUCUCUGUGUCUCUCCCACCCCACCCCGGUGCUGGGGUUAUAGCCAGACACAGCUUUUUACCUGGGUGCCAUGGAUUUGAACUCAAGUCCUCAUGUUUAUUCACUCAGCACAUGGCUCGAAACCCAGACAACUUAUAAAGAAAUAAAGAGACUCCACUGUCCAGUAACAUUCAAGAGCAGACCUGCAGUGGCCUCCUCAGCAGAGAAUCAGGAGGUGUGGGAGAGGGGCCGGUGCUAAGGAGCCCUGCAGAAGGUUCCCAACUUCCUGGAGGGUGUCCCAGCUCCCAGAGUUCUGCUUUUUGGCAUCUGGUUCUCAGCUAGAUCUACCUUUGUGGGUAACAGCACCUCACCCAUCACUAUUUCUGAAUCGCUGAGUUGUUUUCUGCUGCCUUUGGGAUGCCAGUUUCCACUCUGCUGGCACCGAGGAAGAACAGAAGGGCAGCCCCAUCCAUUAGACUGUUGAGGGGAGUGGGGGUGUUGACAACUUCCCCCACAUCUCAAGACCCGCUUAACUGCUUUGGGGUGUAUUCACUGAGGACACAGAGGAAACAGCCGCGGACAAGAGGGUCUGGGCACGCAGCUCAGUUGGUAGAGGUCUUGCCUGGCAUGCAGAAGGCCCUGGGUUUGAGCCCCAGAUCUCAUCAACCAGGGAUGAUGGCACAAGACUAAUCCUAGCACUCAGGAGGUGGUAGAGACAGGAAGCUCAGAAGUUGGAGGUCAUCUUUGGGCACAUAGCAAGCAACAAAUUCAGGUCUAGCCUGAGACUGAGGAAGGGCAGGUGUGGAAAUGGUAGGACGGCUCAGCUGGGAAGGGUACUUUCUGCCCAUGCCUGAGACCUGACUCAUUGACCUCCAUACAAGGUCCAUGGUGUGUGCGUGUGUGUGUGUGUGUGUGUGUGUGUGUGUGUGUGUCUGUCCACACACACGAGUGUGCACACACACACACACACAGGAGCAAAGGGAAUGGCCUGGAAGCUCCUGCAACCUUGGUAGAUGAGGAUAUCAUGUUCUUCCUAAAGCAAGGGAUUUUCUCCUGGAGCAUCUGUCUUCUCUCUCUGGGCCCUCCAUCAGUCUCUCAUGUCAGCCCCUCCCCCAUUUCCCUUUGGCUGGGUCAUCUGGCUUCUUCUUAGCUUUCAAGCUGUGUGUACACAUCUGGAGAGCACCCCUGGUUACUACUCCCCAGCAACACACUGUGCCUUCUUGCAGGGUCUGGCAAGAAAAGCUCCAGAAGGGCUGCUUGAUUGGCAGCAUGCUGUCUUUGCUCAGCUCCAAUGGAGGAGUUGGGCUCAGUCUACUUGGAUUUGAAAAAAACUUUGUCUAUGCUGGACCAGUGGUGGCCAGUGAUGGUGCACACCUUUAAUCCCAGCACUCAGGAGGCAGAGGCAGGCGGAUCUCUGUGAGUUCGAGGCCAGUCUGGACUACAGAGCAAAUUCCAGGACAGCCAUGGCUGUUACACAGAGAAACCCCAUCUGGAAAACCAAAAAGUUUUGUCUAUUUAUUGAUUCAGACAUGGCUUCACUCUGUAGCCCUGUCUGACCCCUAAUUUCUGUUGUCCCCCUGCCUCUGUCUUUCCAGGAUCACAAGCCACCGCACCCAGCUUGCAAUUGACUGACUGAAUGAUUCAUUUACUUAUUUCUAGUGUGGAGGUCCUGAGUUCAAUUCCCAGCAACCACAUGGCAGCUAACAACUGUCUGUACUCAGUUCCAGAGAACCUGACACCUAUGGCAAAACACCAAUCAAUAAACAUAAAAUAAGUAAAUUUUAAAAAUCUGAAUAAAUGGUUGAGCUAUCUUAAUAUUUAUUUUACACAAGUGACAUCAAAAUAAGUAAAUCUUUGGGCUGAAGUUACAUGCAGUUGUGAGCUGCCAUGGGGUUGCUGUGAACUGAAGCUGGGUCCUUUGCAAGAGUAGUCAGUGCUUUUAAAUCCUGACCAUGUCUACAACCCCCAGAUUUUACUUUUUAGUUAUGUGUGGUGGUGUAUAUGCACGUGGAUGCAGUGCUCUUAGCGGCCAGAAGAGGGCAGUAAGUACCCCAGAGCCACAGCAGUAGUGAGCCACUGUGGAUGCCAGGAAACAAAUUUGGAUCCUCUGCAAGAGCAUCACAAGCUCUUCACUGUUGAGCCAGCUCUUCAUCCCCUCAUUUAAUUUUUACUUAUGUGUAUGUGUUUGUAUGUUCUUAUGUAAGCUGCUACCCAUGAAGGCCAAAGAGGGUGUUGGAGCCCCUGAAACUGCAGGUGUGGUAAGCUACCUGCUAUGAGUGCUGUUAAUUGAACUGGGGUCUUCUGUAAAAAGAGCGAGUGUCCUUGUCUGCUGCGCUCUGCGCCCUCUCUCCACCCCCAGCUGC